GGGACUAGUGACAGAGUGAGGCAGGGUGUGACUCGUGACAGAGAGAGGGAGGGGGUGACUAGUGACAGAGUGAGGGAGGUUGUGAUUAGUGACAGAGGGAGGGAUGGGGUGACUAGUGACCGUCACCACCUCCUUCACUCUGUUACUAGUCACCCCCUCCCUCACUCUGUCAUUGUGUCACCCCCUUCCUCACUCUGUCACUAGUCACCCCCUCCCUCCCUCAGUCUGUCACUAGUCACCCCCUCCCUCACUCUGUCACUAGUCACC
RNAcentral lists this small RNA (267 nucleotides) under Pelobates cultripes (western spadefoot toad). Lineage: Eukaryota; Metazoa; Chordata; Amphibia; Anura; Pelobatidae. The record is from RNAcentral.